Molecule: ribosomal RNA, 252 nt
Filed under: uncultured bacterium
Lineage: Bacteria
Description: partial 16S ribosomal RNA
Rfam family: Bacterial small subunit ribosomal RNA
Source: RNAcentral
CGGCACGGGUGAGUAACGCGUGGAUAAUCUACCCUUAAGAUGGGGAGUAACGGCUGGAAACGGUCGCUAAUACCGAAUACGCUCCCGAUUUUUAUUCGUUGGGGGGAAAGGAUGGCCUCUGCUUGCAAGCUAUCGCUUAAGGAUGAGUCCGCGUCCCAUUAGCUAGUUGGCGGGGUAACGGCCCACCAAGGCAACGAUGGGUAGCCGGUCUGAGAGGAUGACCGGCCACACUGGAACUGGAACACGGUCCAG